CGGGUCCAUCAUCCAUUCCCCCACCAUCCAUUUUAAGUGCAAGAUGGUGAAAUUUUCCAUUUUAAAUAUCAAACCUUGAACAUUUGAAUUCCAAAUAUACAAACUCAUGCUGCUACUAUAUGUAUGAUACUACAUAUCUAUGGAUAUAAUAUAUCUAUUUGACGACUAGCCUUAAUUGAAAGUUCUCUCUCGUGAUCGGGAGGAGUAAUUAACUAUAAGGGCUUGCGCUUAUAAGAAACAAAAACUCAAAUCAUAAAGUCCUCGCAAAAUGAGGUUGAAAUCUCUGGGUAGUGUCUUAUCUACAAACUCAUAUGCCUUCCAAAAAUUUACCUUAGAACUUAAUCCAUUAAAACUCCCCCGAAGAAAAGCUCAGCAGGUGGAGGCCGGGGCCAACUCUUCGGAGCCCACAAUUCUCUAGGUACGUAUUACAUUUUAUAGCAAAGCUAUGUAUGCACUUCAUCGGUUAGCAUUUAUGAAGAGUGGCGAAGCUUAAGGAUUUGAGUUAUUUAAAACAAUAAGCUAUAUUGGACUAUGUGAGUUUUAUUGGCACGGAACCUCACAAUGUUUGCAAAUUUUUUAGAGGUCUUACUCUGUGUUUAAAAAUUAAGAUCUUAUUUUUUCUUUCAAAGAUUUGUGUAAAAAUGGGUUGCCUAUGAAGUGUGUCGGAUUAUGAUAUUUUUUAUUGGAUUUCGGCAUUACCUAAAUAUACAUUUUCUUUUCUUUCCUGGUUUUUUUUUUCUUUGGGAUAAUGUUGUGCUGCUCGAUCUUGAAUGCUGCUUCAUUUGCUGGUGCUCAAGUUAAAAUGGCAAAUGUUCAAGCUGCUUCCUAGUGAUCAGAUAUACCAUAAUGCUGUACACUAUGGUGUUGACACUCAGCCAUCAAUAAAAGAGCUUUCUGACUUGUCUGAAGCCUGUAGUAAGCUGUGGGAACUUGAUUUAAACCGCUUGGUUCCAGGAAAGGAUUACGAAAUUGAUUGUGGUGAGGGGAAAAGAGCUCACCAAAAGGGAGAUAUGGCACCAGAAAGCUUGUUUAAGUGGUUGGGUGAUGAUGUGCUUAGGCGCUCUACUUAUGCUCGUUUCUGCUCCCUUUUAGAUAACUACUUUCCUGAAGAAAGUAUUACAGAAGAUGUAACUCCUGAAGAGAUACAAGAGCAGACUGAAUUUAUUGAGGAGAUAUUCAGGACACCUCCAAUUAAUUAUCUACAUAAAUAUCUUGUUGAGAAGGGCCUUGUAUCUGGUAAUUCUGAAGAGUUUAAGGAAAUGUUGAAUCAUCUAUGGUUUGAUCUUUAUUCAAGAGGAGGUGGAUAUGACUCCUCUUCUGCUUUUGAACAUGUUUUUGUUGGGGAAAUCAAGGGUCGUAAGGGAAAUGUCGUCUCAGGUUUUCACAACUGGAUUCAGUUUUAUCUGGAAGAAGCUAAAGGAAAUGUAGACUAUCAAGGCUAUAUUUUUCCCAGAAAGCAUGGAGAGCAUGUAAGUAUUUUUAAUUUCUUCAUGACAUUCUUAAUAAUUAACUUCAUUAUUUAAUAUUUUCUUUGUAUGCCUCAUAAGUACAAUAAGACAUCUGCCUUUGUUUAGAAUAAGAUUUGAUUUAUCAAACUGGCCAAUAUGACCUUGGUCUGACUAAAUGUUCUUUGGAAUUCCUAAAAAUAAGGACCAUAUCAUGAGGUAUAAAUGUGGAAAACUUAUAAUUAGUUGUUAAUGGCUAUAAGUAGGAGAUUCUUCUUACCUUGUCCUAUAACCAUUGUUUGUUUUCUUCCAAUAUUUAAUUAUUUAAACAUAAAAACAAAAUCGAUGUUGGUUUUAUUCUGUUAUAUAAAGCACUCUUGCCAAUAGUUACAUGAAGAAGUUGCCUUCCUAACAUGGAAUGGGGAAAAAAUUAAAUCAAUAUAUCAUGAUGGAUUUCAUGUUUGCAUGGAUCUAGUUGCUCUUUGAUUAGCUCUGAGAUUAGAGCUACAUCUAUUAUCUCUGGACUGCAAUAAUAUCAGUGCAGAUCUAAUUGCAGUUAGGUCUAUCCUGAUAGAAAAUUCAAAAGGAUAUCCUAACAUUUUUUACUUAUUUAAAAUAUAAAAACUAAAUUUAUUAUUUCCUAUCCACAACAUUAAAUCAAUUGCCCGCACUUAAUACCCCAUUCAUCGAAUAUUUUCAUUUCUCUUUGACACUGAAGCUAUUUUCUCUCUCGAUGAGUGAUAAACACCAUCAACGCCAGACUCUCGACAUCCUAAUAUUAAUUAUUUUAAGCACAGAUUCUAGUUAAAUGACCUAUUAUUUUUAAAUUAUUUUUAAAAUUAUACUUAUUCAAUUUUUAUAUGCUAUUUUUAAAAAAUAAAAUUAAUAAUACCGUGUCAAACCCGUGUUCGUGUCAUAUAUUUUCAAUAAUUGGCAUGUCCCGUGUCCGUGUCAUAUUCUAUCCGUAUCAUCAUGUCUUUGUUUGUGCAUCAUAGCAUGGGAACAGCCUCAUAGCAAAGAGGUUUUCAUGGAAAAAAUCGGCCAACUUCGAUCAUCCAUCCAAUACUUGAAGCAAUAAUGCAUCACAAUCAGGCCAUCUUAUGUUUUAGUCGAUAUAAUUUUGAACAUUUUCUAGAAUUGUCCUAGGUAUUCAUUCUAAUAACAUAAAGAGAAAUAUUGGUGGAAGUGGUCAUGUUUUGGAAUCGAUACUUAUAAAUAACCAAAAUCAUAUAUGAUAACCUGUGGCACCCCAAUGUAAGAUUUGGUCUACUUGCCCGCCUAAAUUAUUCAAUACUUGCUUAUAGUUCGAAACAUGUAUUUCUGUUGGAAUUUUGUUUUUAACAUCUAUUUUUUAUUCGCUUUAUAAAGAGUGGUGAAGUAAGAGUGAGAAUCAAGCUUUGCAAUAAUAACACUACCAAUAAAAAAAUUUGCACCUGAUAUUGUUGUCCUUACUUGCAGAGGAUUUUUCAACUAAAUCCUUAAACUAUUUGUUAAUUAAUUAUGUGAAUCAAAUAUUAGUUAAAUAUAAUUUAAUUAAUUUGGACUAGUUCCUAAUUCCUGUUUUUUUUCAAGUUAACAUAUGCCUCUUAUAUAGCCUUCUCUUGUGUAGCCUUGUACGUGGCUUUGUUUCUUGUAUUUGUUUUUCCCUUAAGCAAGUGGGCCUCUUGUGGCUUUGGAAGCCCGAGCAAACUAGGAUGCGAGCCAAGCAAUCAAUGAAUGAGAGGAGAGGCAAUCCAUGGGAGGGAUUGCGACCUGGAGCAAGAGGAGGAGCUUGUGAACGGGGAGGCCGAGCGAGAGUAGUUAUUGGGCUUCUUGUGCGAUUCAAAGGUAAAUCAAAAGGAGAUCUUUCAUCGGGAGAGAGAUAAGUAUCUUUGCUCUUAAGCUCUUCCAUUUGGAGUUCCUUUGAAACCGACCAACGAGGAAAGGGCAUCGUUGGGUGCCCGUUUUUUAGAAGGAAUUGAGAAAGUUGAAAGAUAGGCAAAGAAGUAAUCUCAGCCAGACUCAGAAACUCAGUUGCUAACCAUUCAAUUCAAGUGGAAUGGUGCCCUGAAGUCUGUAUCCACCACUUUAGUUGGUGUGAGCCCGGAGUUCGAAGUUGCCCUCUACACUCUUUGCUUCUUUGUGGGUAAAG
Dendrobium catenatum is the source of this 3576-nucleotide RNA transcript. It is a transcript of the gene named poly(U)-specific endoribonuclease-B-like, with no coding region annotated. The transcript is spliced from 3 exons. The record is from RefSeq and is a predicted model, not a curated record. NCBI's taxonomy places the organism in Eukaryota, Viridiplantae, Streptophyta, Magnoliopsida, Asparagales, Orchidaceae.